CCGGCCCCUCUUUCUUUCUUUUAAAAAUGUUUUUUAUUAGUACAUAGUUGCAGUACGUGAUGUUUACAUUCAUCUUGAAAGUGGGUUCAUUACUGGCCUAAGGAACACUAUUGAUUUUUGUGUUAAACUGGAUCUGUCUCAAGAAUUCCAUGUCCAACCAGCAGAAUCUUAUUGUUCCCCAGGACUGAUUUUGGGACUCUUGGCUCCCACCCCUACUAACUCAGAUUUUUAAAAUCUUUGUGGAAAAAACAGAAAGAGCUCACUCUGGACCAACGGAUCAGUCUUGCUCCGUCUUCUCUGUCUCCAGGAGGAGAAUGGAGCAGCGCCUAACCAUAUCUAGGGUGGCAGGGUAAAGCAAGAAAAGAUUUCUGCAGUCACAUCUCUCUAAUUUCGAUAGAGCUGAUGUGAUGAAUGGAAGCAAGUAAAAGAAAAUUCUUGGAAGAAGAAUAAUACUUGAAUACAACAAAACUAUGGAGUAUCAGAAAGAAGAAAAUGGGACUUAUUUUAUAAGAUGGAUCAUACCUAAGUAUCAUAUAACAUUUAAUUUGACUCUAAAAUGGAAACAGA
This is a long non-coding RNA of Heterocephalus glaber (naked mole-rat), 567 nucleotides long. The record is from Ensembl. NCBI's taxonomy places the organism in Eukaryota, Metazoa, Chordata, Mammalia, Rodentia, Bathyergidae.